GGCAUGUAGCUCAGUUGAUAGAGUGCUUGCCUCACAUGCAUAAGGCCCUGGAUUCAAUCCCCAGCACCA
Molecule: transfer RNA, 69 nt
Filed under: Marmota monax (woodchuck)
Lineage: Eukaryota; Metazoa; Chordata; Mammalia; Rodentia; Sciuridae
Description: tRNA.Val
Rfam family: tRNA (bases 5-66)
About the family: Transfer RNA (tRNA) molecules are approximately 80 nucleotides in length. Their secondary structure includes four short double-helical elements and three loops (D, anti-codon, and T loops). Further hydrogen bonds mediate the characteristic L-shaped molecular structure. tRNAs have two regions of fundamental functional importance: the anti-codon, which is responsible for specific mRNA codon recognition, and the 3' end, to which the tRNAs corresponding amino acid is attached (by aminoacyl-tRNA synthetases). tRNAs cope with the degeneracy of the genetic code in two manners: having more than one tRNA (with a specific anti-codon) for a particular amino acid; and 'wobble' base-pairing, i.e. permitting non-standard base-pairing at the 3rd anti-codon position.
Source: RNAcentral